GACGAACGCUGGCGGCGUGCUUAACACAUGCCAGUCGAACGGAAAGGCCCUGCUUUUGUGGGGUGCUCGAGUGGCGAACGGGUGAGUAACACGUGAGUAACCUGCCCUUGACUUUGGGAUAACUUCAGGAAACUGGGACUAAUACCGGAUAGGAGCUCCUGCUGCAUGGUGGGGGUUGGAAAGUUUCGGCGGUUGGGGAUGGACUCGCGGCUUAUCAGCUUGUUGGUGGGGUAGUGGCUUACCAAGGCUUUGACGGGUAGCCGGCCUGAGAGGGUGACCGGCCACAUUGGGACUGAGAUACGGCCCAGACUCCUACGGGAGGCAGCAGUGGGGAAUAUUGCACAAUGGGCGGAAGCCUGAUGCAGCAACGCCGCGUGCGGGAUGACGGCCUUCGGGUUGUAAACCGCUUUCGCCUGUGACGAAGCGUGAGUGACGGUAAUGGGUAAAGAAGCACCGGCUAACUACGUG
RNAcentral lists this ribosomal RNA (468 nucleotides) under uncultured bacterium. Its description in RNAcentral is "partial 16S ribosomal RNA". It matches the Rfam family "Bacterial small subunit ribosomal RNA", at positions 28 to 507 of the family's 1533-position model. The record is from RNAcentral.